RNAcentral lists this ribosomal RNA (201 nucleotides) under uncultured bacterium. RNAcentral's name for it is "partial 16S ribosomal RNA". It matches the Rfam family "Bacterial small subunit ribosomal RNA", at positions 1301 to 1500 of the family's 1533-position model. The record is from RNAcentral.
UGGUCUGCAACUCGACCACACGAAGCUGGAAUCGCUAGUAAUCGCGAAUCAGCAUGUCGCGGUGAAUACGCUCCCGGGCCUUGUACACACCGCCCGUCACACCAUGAGAGCCGGGAACACCCGAAGUCCGUAGUCUAACCUAUAUGGAGGACGCGGCCGAAGGUGGGUUUGGUAAUUGGGGUGAAGUCGUAACAAGGUACC